RNAcentral lists this long non-coding RNA (501 nucleotides) under Coturnix japonica (Japanese quail). RNAcentral's name for it is "lncRNA (ENSCJPG00005013587.1)". The record is from RNAcentral. Lineage: Eukaryota; Metazoa; Chordata; Aves; Galliformes; Phasianidae.
AAGGCUCACCAAGAUGCCAAACCGUGGCUGGCUACAGCUUCAGCACAUCUCGUAACAAUGCAGGCCAUGACAUGCCAGUGUGAUGGAGCGUGGUGAUGUGCUGACUGGGAUCUGCAACCUGUGCCCUGCGUCCACAUGGGGUAUGAGGAAUGUCAAGCAGUGCCCACUGUGCACCCAGAUGUAUUCAUGCUCUCAGCCAGCAGCCCUUCAAGGGCAGCCUGUGCCAUGUUCAGCAGAGGGUUUAGCUGCCUGCCCUGGUCCCAGGACAACAGCCUUCAAAUGGGAACUUACCUUAAUGAAAUUCUGCACAGUAACUGGAUGAACAGACUGGAUCAGAACUCAUUGCUGUGCUGGUGGUGCACAACGGCAGUGGCUCUUCAUGUGGCCCAGCAGCCACAUGCUACCCCACCAAAAUGCAAAUACCAUCUCAAAAACAGCUCUGGACUGCCCACAUGCAGCAGCUCCAGAAGCACGGCAGGAGGAUUCAGACUCCCAGAAUAA